GAGUUUGAUCAUGGCUCAGGAUGAACGCUAGCGGGAGGCUUAACACAUGCAAGUCGAGGGGUAUAAGUAGCAAUAUUUAGAGACCGGCGCACGGGUGAGUAACGCGUAUGCAACCUGCCCUUUACAGGGGGAUAGCCCGUAGAAAUGCGGAUUAAUACCCCAUAGUACUAUUGGAUCGCAUGGUUUGAUAGUUAAAGUUUCGGUGGUAAAGGAUGGGCAUGCGUGACAUUAGCUAGUUGGAGAGGUAACGGCUCACCAAGGCUACGAUGUCUAGGGGUUCUGAGAGGAAGAUCCCCCACACUGGUACUGAGACACGGACCAGACUCCCACGGGAGGCAGCAGUGAGGAAUAUUGGUCAAUGGGCGAGAGCCUGAACCAGCCAUCCCGCGUGCAGGAAGAAUGCCCUAUGGGUUGUAAACUGCUUUUUCGCAUGAAGAACACUCCGGACGUGUCUGGAGCUGACGGUAAUGCGUGAAUAAGCACCGGCUAACUCCGUGCCAGCAGCCGCGGUAAUACGGAGGG
RNAcentral lists this ribosomal RNA (522 nucleotides) under uncultured bacterium. RNAcentral describes it as "bacterial SSU rRNA". It matches the Rfam family "Bacterial small subunit ribosomal RNA", at positions 9 to 532 of the family's 1533-position model. The record is from RNAcentral.